AGCUUUGCUCAAUGGCAGUAUCAUAGCCAAUAAGGUUUAACUGAGGCAUAAUUAUUGCUAAUUGAAAACCAAGUGCCCAACCAGAUCUCCAGUUGGAUGGGGUACCUUACCUCAUGCUAUAAAGAACAUGUCCAUCUGGGAACACCCUGAGCAUGAUGUUAU
Monodelphis domestica (gray short-tailed opossum) is the source of this 162-nucleotide small nuclear RNA. Its record names the gene U4. It matches the Rfam family "U4 spliceosomal RNA". From Rfam's summary of the family: U4 small nuclear RNA (U4 snRNA) is a component of the major U2-dependent spliceosome. The structure of U4 snRNA from yeast and human has been reported. The record is from Ensembl. Lineage: Eukaryota; Metazoa; Chordata; Mammalia; Didelphimorphia; Didelphidae.